Molecule: transfer RNA, 72 nt
Filed under: Camelus bactrianus (Bactrian camel)
Lineage: Eukaryota; Metazoa; Chordata; Mammalia; Artiodactyla; Camelidae
Also listed under: 1 other name
Rfam family: tRNA
About the family: Transfer RNA (tRNA) molecules are approximately 80 nucleotides in length.
Source: Rfam by way of RNAcentral
GAAGGUAUAGCUCAGUGGUAGCGUGCGUGCCUAGCAUGCACAAGGUCCCGGGUUCAAUCUUCAGUACCUGCA